RNAcentral lists this ribosomal RNA (253 nucleotides) under uncultured bacterium. RNAcentral's name for it is "partial 16S ribosomal RNA". It matches the Rfam family "Bacterial small subunit ribosomal RNA", at positions 524 to 776 of the family's 1533-position model. The record is from RNAcentral.
UACGUAGGGUGCGAGCGUUAAUCGGAAUUACUGGGCGUAAAGCGUGCGCAGGCGGUUAUGCAAGACAGAUGUGAAAUCCCCGGGCUUAACCUGGGAACUGCAUUUGUGACUGCAUGACUAGAGUACGGCAGAGGGGGAUGGAAUUCCGCGUGUAGCAGUGAAAUGCGUAGAUAUGCGGAGGAACACCGAUGGCGAAGGCAAUCCCCUGGGCCUGUACUGACGCUCAUGCACGAAAGCGUGGGGAGCAAACAGG